AGUUGAGGUAGCUGGAAUGAGUAGUGUAGCGGUGAAAUGCAUAGAUAUUACUCAGAACACCGAUUGCGAAGGCAGGUUACCAAGUUAUAACUGACGCUGAGGGACGAAAGCGUGGGGAGCGAACAGGAUUAGAUACCCUGGUAGUCCACGCCGUAAACGAUGCUAACUCGUUUUUGGGCUUUAGGGUUCAGAGACUAAGCGAAAGUGAUAAGUUAGCCACCUGGGGAGUACGACCGCAAGGUUGAAACUCAAAGGAAUUGACGGGGGCCCGCACAAGCGGUGGAUCAUGUGGUUUAAUUCGAUGAUACGCGAGGAACCUUACCAAGGCUUAAAUGGGAAUUGACAGCUGUAGAAAUACGGUUUUCUUCGGACAAUUUUCAAGGUGCUGCAUGGUUGUCGUCAGCUCGUGCCGUGAGGUGUUAGGUUAAGUCCUGCAACGAGCGCAACCCCUGUCACUAGUUGCCAUCAUUAAGUUGGGGACUCUAGUGAGACUGCCUACGCAAGUAGCGAGGAAGGUGGGGAUGACGUCAAAUCAUCACGGCCCUUACGCCUUGGGCCACACACGUGAUACAAUGGCCGGUA
RNAcentral lists this ribosomal RNA (582 nucleotides) under Riemerella anatipestifer. Its description in RNAcentral is "bacterial SSU rRNA". It matches the Rfam family "Bacterial small subunit ribosomal RNA", at positions 650 to 1239 of the family's 1533-position model. Lineage: Bacteria; Pseudomonadati; Bacteroidota; Flavobacteriia; Flavobacteriales; Weeksellaceae. The record is from RNAcentral.